AUCACCAAAAUUAACUUAACACCAUAAAUAGUUUAGCAUUAAUUAAACCGAAGAAUUAAAUCAUUUUUCCACCUUAGUACGGGAGACGGAAAAGGUAAUUUUAAGCAAUAGAGAAAGUACCGCAAGGGAAAGCUGAAAGAGUAAUGAAACAAUUCAUAUAAGCACAAAAAAGCAGAGACUAACCCUCGUACCUUUUGCAUCAUGAUUUAGCCAGCACCACACAAGCAAAGUGACCUUUAGUUUGAAGCCCCGAAACCAAGUGAGCUACCCCGGGACAGCCUAUUUGGGCGAACCCGUCUCUGUGGCAAAAGAGUGGGAAGAGCCCCGGGUAGAGGUGAUAAACCUACCGAACUUGGUGAUAGCUGGUUGCCUAAGAAAUGAAUAGAAGUUCAGCCUCGUACCCCUUUAGCCAAUUAGGAAAUAUCUAAGUAAGCACAAAAGAGAAAUACGAGAGUUAGUUAAAGGGGGUACAGCCCCUUUAAUAAAGGACACAACCUUAAAUAGGAGGAUAAGAGUCACAUUUUAUAAAACUAGUCGUUCCAGUGGGCCUAAAAGCAGCCAUCUGAGUAGAAAGCGUUAAAGCUCAAACGACAUACAGUUUAUUAUACUGAUAAAUAGCCCAAUUCCCCUAGAAGUAUUAGGCCGUUCCAUGCCACCAUGGAAGAGACCAUGCUAGAAUGAGUAAUAAGAGGGCAUGACCCUCUCCUGGCACAAGUGUAAACCAGAUCGGACAGACCACUGGAAAUUAACGAACCCAUAAAAAGAGGGUAGUGUGUUCACUAAAGAAUUCGAGAAAAUAACACAAUAACUAUAUCGUUAAACCCACACUGGAGUGCCGUCAAGGAAAGACUAAAAGAAAGGGAAGGAACUCGGCAAACACAAGCCUCGCCUGUUUACCAAAAACAUCGCCUCCUGCAAACCCCUACGUAUAGGAGGUCCAGCCUGCCCGGUGACUACAAGUUUAACGGCCGCGGUAUUUUGACCGUGCAAAGGUAGCGCAAUCACUUGUCUUUUAAAUGAAGACCUGUAUGAAUGGCUAAACGAGGGCUUAACUGUCUCCCCUUUCAGGUCAGUGAAAUUGAUCUACCCGUGCAG
This 1095-nucleotide ribosomal RNA is filed under the name Triplophysa strauchii (spotted thicklip loach). Its description in RNAcentral is "partial large subunit ribosomal RNA". It matches the Rfam family "Bacterial large subunit ribosomal RNA", at positions 144 to 2058 of the family's 2925-position model. The record is from RNAcentral. Lineage: Eukaryota; Metazoa; Chordata; Actinopteri; Cypriniformes; Nemacheilidae.